CCUACGGGCGUCAGCAGUGAGGAAUAUUGGGCAAUGGGGGCAACCCUGACCCAGCCAUGCCGCGUGAGUGAAGGAGGUCUUCGGAUUGUAAAGCUCUUUCGGACGUGACGAUGAUGACGGUAGCGUCUCAAGAAGCACCGGCAAACUUCGUGCCAGCAGCCGCGGUAAUACGAAGGGUGCGAGCGUUGUUCGGAAUUACUGGGCGUAAAGGGUGCGUAGGCUGUGAGGUAAGUCAGCGGUGAAAUGCCCCCGCUCAACGGGGUGAAGUGCCAUUGAUACUGCCUUGCUGGAAUGCGGAUGCCGUGGGAGGAAUGUGUGGUGUAGCGGUGAAAUGCAUAGAUAUCACACAGAACACCGAUUGCGAAGGCAUCUCACGAAUCCGCGAUUGACGCUGAUGCACGAAAGCGUGGGUAUCAAACAGGAUUAGAUACCCUGGUAGUC
Molecule: ribosomal RNA, 441 nt
Filed under: uncultured bacterium
Lineage: Bacteria
Description: partial 16S ribosomal RNA
Rfam family: Bacterial small subunit ribosomal RNA
Source: RNAcentral